Molecule: ribosomal RNA, 450 nt
Filed under: uncultured bacterium
Lineage: Bacteria
Description: partial 16S ribosomal RNA
Rfam family: Bacterial small subunit ribosomal RNA
Source: RNAcentral
GUGGGGAAUUUUGGACAAUGGGCGCAAGCCUGAUCCAGCAAUGCCGCGUGCAGGAAGAAGGCCUUCGGGUUGUAAACUGCUUUUGUACGGAACGAAACGGUUCUCUCUAAUACAGGGAGCUAAUGACGGUACCGUAAGAAUAAGCACCGGCUAACUACGUGCCAGCAGCCGCGGUAAUACGUAGGGUGCAAGCGUUAAUCGGAAUUACUGGGCGUAAAGCGUGCGCAGGCGGUUUUGUAAGACAGAGGUGAAAUCCCCGGGCUCAACCUGGGGGGUGCCUUUGUGACUGCAAGGCUGGAGGGCGGCAGAGGGGGAUGGAAUUCCGCGUGUAGCAGUGAAAUGCGUAGAUAUGCGGAGGAACACCGAUGGCGAAGGCAAUCCCCUGGGCCUGCACUGACGCUCAUGCACGAAAGCGUGGGGAGCAAACAGGAUUAGAUACCCGAGUAGUCC